GCCCACGUAGCCCAACACGGCUGUAGUCGUGCGGAGCGUAGUGGACGCCAGUCCACGAAGCUGCGCGACUACAGACUUGUCGACGGGUCGAAGACCCUAGUCAACUAGCAGAGGCAUCGGACUAAGGGUCCGACCAGUGGAGGUUCAAAUCCUCCCGUGGGCACCA
Molecule: transfer RNA, 166 nt
Filed under: Myxococcales bacterium
Lineage: Bacteria; Pseudomonadati; Myxococcota; Myxococcia; Myxococcales
Description: tRNA-Leu
Source: RNAcentral